GUCAUACUGCACUCACACGUUUGCCUAACUGCAAGAGACAUGUGUUCAUCUGAGUACUGCAUGGUCAAUGCCGCACACACAUCAAACCCCCAGGAUGCACAACUUGCAGUUUCAUUUAACUUAGAAAAACACCCAUGCACAAACUGUACGCCUGCACACCCCCGAGCUGCACGUGGCGAUACACCAAACCGCAUGCCUGUGCAAACCGAGCUACACGGAAUGAGCUGCUGAACCACUGUUGAGCAGUACAUUUGAAUGUGAACCUCAUUAAGCUCCCAUCUAAACUGCGGGCAGGGUCAGAGCUUACCGCAUCGAGUGCACUGCAGGACUAAGUGCAAAAUUACAUGGAAAUAUGCACAAGUAAACUUCACACCUCGGGAAAAGGAACUGAUUUCCUUUUAAAAUUAACUGGAAAAAACCUGCAAAUUCAACCGGAAGAACAACUCAUAGCAAACCGCAGUACAUCGGCAGCGAGCACCUUGAAGAAAAGUAAACUACAGUAUGAUAAGGCCCUGACGAUUUUCAACCACAAAAAACAAAAUCAGUGAACCAAAAGACCAUCCUCGCCGUCGCUCCCAUUGUUUUCCUGUACGUCGGUGUAGAGCACCUUGGAUCGGCCAUGGGACGAGGAAGAGGGAGUUCUUUGACCUCGCCAGAACUGCACACCCACGCACACGUGUUCCGCACUGCACCGGACGCACCAUGCCAACUGCACGGGGGCUGGGGGUGGGCAGCCGGACUGCUGCCCUACCCUUCCUUGGGCUGUAAGGCGUCACCGCUGCCUCCUUAGGAUGGCCAUGUCCUCACCACCCCCGCCGGAGUCCAUGGCCGGUGGGCCGCCGGACUACAAGCCCUCGCACCGGAGGACAGCGGGCGUGCUACUGACGGUGUGCUUUAGGAGGAGGAGGGGAGCUGUGAAGGGGGCGAACCUGCGGCCAUACCCGGGGCCUUGCCCGUCCUCCUCGCAUCAUCAAUGGCGUGACCGUCGGGAUCCUGCACGGGGAGGUAUCGGCGAGGCUGUGGAAGGGAUGGACCCGGUCAGAGGCGCCGGAUCAGACAAGGGCGCAGCGCCGCCUGGGCGUGAGGAGUGGCAAUAGACGACAUCCUGCUGUGAGAGAGAGACGAGAUCUCAGGGAUGAACAUAGGUUAGAGAAAGGAGGAAGAACGGGGUGCUCGAUUUCGGCAUGGCUUGGCCGGAUCCAACGCCAUGGAGCCGCGGAGGUCAUGGUGAGGUGCGCCGGCAGAGGUUAGUCGAGGGUGGGGCACAGGCCACAACGGGGGUGGUCGCGCCGCCGCGUGGUGGGAGGUGGUCGGGGGUGGGCGCGCCACCGCGUGGGAGGUGGUCGGGGGUAGGGGUGGGGCACCGCCGCGCGGUAGGAAGUGGUUGGGGUGGUCCUGUGGCGGGAGGUCGUGCGGCGGCGCUUGGAGAGAGAUGGAGUGGCGGGUCUGGGAAGGGGAGCUCGUGGGGAGUGGAGGGAGGAGCACGGGGACAGGAGAGAGAGGUGGGUGGUGACGAGAGGAUAAGGU
RNAcentral lists this ribosomal RNA (1527 nucleotides) under Triticum aestivum (bread wheat). RNAcentral's name for it is "partial small subunit ribosomal RNA". Lineage: Eukaryota; Viridiplantae; Streptophyta; Magnoliopsida; Poales; Poaceae. The record is from RNAcentral.